This 226-nucleotide long non-coding RNA is filed under the name Nicotiana benthamiana. Its description in RNAcentral is "long non-coding RNA (NBEN_LNC000770)". Lineage: Eukaryota; Viridiplantae; Streptophyta; Magnoliopsida; Solanales; Solanaceae. The record is from RNAcentral.
AUUUUCUUGUCACACAGGACCCCUGAAGCGAGCCUCCACUUCGACCACCCCGCUCCUAUCCGGUGGGUGACGUCCCCGUCAAUCUCUCCGUCCUGGAUCACAGACCCAAGGUAUCUCAUUCUGUCCCUCUUGAUGAUGGUCUGAGAACCAAGCAUCACAUCCUUGCCUACCCCACUCGGCUCGUCACCAAACUUGCACUCCAGAUAUUCUGUCUUAGAUCUGCUUA